This 441-nucleotide ribosomal RNA is filed under the name uncultured bacterium. Its description in RNAcentral is "partial 16S ribosomal RNA". It matches the Rfam family "Bacterial small subunit ribosomal RNA", at positions 338 to 795 of the family's 1533-position model. The record is from RNAcentral.
CCUACGGGAGGCUGCAGUGGGGAAUAUUGGGCAAUGGAGGAAACUCUGACCCAGCAACGCAGCGUGAAGGAUGAAGGUUUUCGGAUUGUAAACUUCUGUCGCGAGAGACGAAGAAUGACGGUACCUCGUAAGAAAGCCCCGGCAAACUACGUGACAGCAGCCGCGGUAAGAGGGAGGGGGCGAGCGUUGUCCGGAAGGACGGGGCGUAAAGGGAGUGUAGGCGGCUCUUUAAGUUAUAUGUGAAAUCCCGCGGCUUAACCGUGGAAGUGCAAAUGAAACUGGGGAGCUGGAGUGCAGGAGAGGUGAGUGGAAUUCGUAGUGUAGCGGUGGAAUGCGUAGAUAUUAGGAAGAACACCGGUGGCGAAGGCGGCUCACUGGACUGUAACUGACGCUGAGGCUCGAAAGCGUGGGGAGCAAACAGGAUUAGAUACCCUGGUAGUC